RNAcentral lists this ribosomal RNA (111 nucleotides) under Pteropus alecto (black flying fox). Lineage: Eukaryota; Metazoa; Chordata; Mammalia; Chiroptera; Pteropodidae. The record is from RNAcentral.
GUCUACGGCCAUGAGCAACCCCAAUCCAGUCUGAUCUUGGAAGCUAAGCAGGGUCAGGCCUGGUUACUACUUGGAUGGGAGACCACCUAGGAACACCAUGUGCUGUAGGCA